ACGGAAGGCAGCAGUGGGGAAUAUUGCACAAUGGGGGAAACCCUGAUGCAGCGACGCCGCGUGAGUGAAGAAGUUAUUCGUAAUGUAAAGCUCUAUCAGCAGGGAAGAAAAUGACGGUACCUGACUAAGAAGCCCCGGCUAACUACGUGCCAGCAGCCGCGGUAAUACGUAGGGGGCAAGCGUUAUCCGGAUUUACUGGGUGUAAAGGGAGCGUAGACGGUCUAGCAAGUCUGAUGUGAAAGGCAGGGGCUCAACUCCUGGACUGCAUUGGAAACUGUUAGUCUUGAGUGUCGGAGAGGUAAGCGGAAUUCCUAGUGUAGCGGUGAAAUGCGUAGAUAUUAGGAGGAACACCAGUGGCGAAGGCGGCUUACUGGACGAUAACUGACGUUGAGGCUCGAAAGCGUGGGGAGCAGACAGGAUUAGAUACCCUGGUA
Molecule: ribosomal RNA, 434 nt
Filed under: uncultured Blautia sp.
Lineage: Bacteria; Bacillati; Bacillota; Clostridia; Lachnospirales; Lachnospiraceae
Description: partial 16S ribosomal RNA
Rfam family: Bacterial small subunit ribosomal RNA
Source: RNAcentral